AACGUGCUCCGGGGUCGGUGGGAAUCCGAACCGGCGGUGAAAGUCCGCGAGCCGUGAUGCGACCACCUGGUGGGAGCGGAGCGGUUGAGCCGGUGAAACUCCGGCACCGACGGUUAAAGUCCGGAUGGGAGGAUGCACGCG
RNAcentral lists this non-coding RNA (141 nucleotides) under Leifsonia sp. RNAcentral describes it as "FMN sequence". It matches the Rfam family "FMN riboswitch aptamer (RFN element)". Rfam says of the family: The RFN element is a highly conserved domain that is found frequently in the 5'-untranslated regions of prokaryotic mRNAs that encode for flavin mononucleotide (FMN) biosynthesis and transport proteins. This element is a metabolite-dependent riboswitch that directly binds FMN in the absence of proteins. In Bacillus subtilis, the riboswitch most likely controls gene expression by causing premature transcription termination within the 5' untranslated region of the ribDEAHT operon and precluding access to the ribosome-binding site of ypaA mRNA. The record is from RNAcentral. Lineage: Bacteria; Bacillati; Actinomycetota; Actinomycetes; Micrococcales; Microbacteriaceae.